RNAcentral lists this unclassified non-coding RNA (302 nucleotides) under Hevea brasiliensis (rubber tree). The record is from RNAcentral. Lineage: Eukaryota; Viridiplantae; Streptophyta; Magnoliopsida; Malpighiales; Euphorbiaceae.
GACUCCCUUAUAAAGGGUUUUGCCUGCAGGUGUAGAUGUUUUUUUUAGCUUACAAUGAUAUUCAGAUCUUUGAUACCCAAAAGGUAAAGAAAAAGAAAAAAAUAAUGGAUAGGUGGGGAUGGUGGAGAGAGAGAGAGCUUGUGCUCCAUGCAGGCAGUAAUAUCAGGCUUUAUGAGUUAACAAGGAGUUAGGUCAUAGGUUGUUAAGCUUAAAUGUGGCAUCUGGAAGAGAAGCAUCAUAAAUAUAAUUCCAUUUAAGUAGGAGAAAGCAUGGACAUACCCAUUCAACCAAGCUCCAUUCAU